UCCAUUUUAAUGACUACUCUAAAGAUUUCAGUAUAACUAUGGUAUGUUUGAUAUAUUUAGGAAAUUGCUGGUGGUGGUGGAUUUGGUAUGCAUCUUGCUGUCUAUGAUUCACUGUCAUGCAGGGGGAUGAAUUAUCUUCAUGAAUGACAACUAGAUCCCAUUAUUCGUUGUGAUUUAAAGCCAAAGUUUUAAGUUGAGAAUAAUGACAAACACAGAGCUGAAGGAAUGCCUCUACAGCUGAAGGUUUUGAGUCAAGAAUGUAUCAAGCACGAGUUGUGCAGCAUGCGACCUAGGAAGCAUUGGAUUCCCUUUUUUCUGGAACCCUUGACCAGGUCUUCAGCAGAUUGACUUGAGUUUUUUCAGUUGCAAAUAAUUAGCAACGGCUAAAAAUUGUUGCUAACUUUUGAACAAGAAUAACAAAACCCGGUCCAGCUAAAAGGAGUCGUUCUAAGUUUUCUUGGUUAUAAAUUUCGCAACUGCUCUAGAGCAACUUGGGUGAACCGAGAACUGUUGCGAAAAAACUUUCGCAACGUCUCUGGACCUGCUGCAAAAAAUAUGCAACGCCACGUUUCGCAACGGCUUUUGC
Long non-coding RNA from Papaver somniferum (opium poppy), 586 nucleotides. RefSeq lists it as uncharacterized. The record is from RefSeq and is a predicted model, not a curated record. The transcript has 4 exons. NCBI's taxonomy places the organism in Eukaryota, Viridiplantae, Streptophyta, Magnoliopsida, Ranunculales, Papaveraceae.